This 1051-nucleotide ribosomal RNA is filed under the name uncultured Bacteroidales bacterium. RNAcentral describes it as "bacterial SSU rRNA". It matches the Rfam family "Bacterial small subunit ribosomal RNA", at positions 32 to 1087 of the family's 1533-position model. The record is from RNAcentral. Lineage: Bacteria; Pseudomonadati; Bacteroidota; Bacteroidia; Bacteroidales.
AACGCUAGCUACAGGCUUAACACAUGCAAGUCGAGGGGUAGCAGGGUAGCAAUACCGCUGACGACCGGCGCACGGGUGAGUAACACGUAUCCAACCUACCGUUUACUCGGGGAUAGCCUUUCGAAAGAAAGAUUAAUACCCGAUAGUAUAAAGAGUUCGCAUGUUCUCUUUAUUAAAGGAUUCCGGUAAAUGAUGGGGAUGCGUUCCAUUAGAUUGUUGGCGGGGUAACGGCCCACCAAGUCUUCGAUGGAUAGGGGUUCUGAGAGGAAGGUCCCCCACAUUGGAACUGAGACACGGUCCAAACUCCUACGGGAGGCAGCAGUGAGGAAUAUUGGUCAAUGGGCGCUAGCCUGAACCAGCCAAGUAGCGUGAAGGAUGACUGCCCUAUGGGUUGUAAACUUCUUUUAUAAGGGAAUAAAAUGGGGAACGUGUUCCCCUUUGCAUGUACCUUACGAAUAAGGAUCGGCUAACUCCGUGCCAGCAGCCGCGGUAAUACGGAGGAUCCGAGCGUUAUCCGGAUUUAUUGGGUUUAAAGGGUGCGUAGGCGGAAUGAUCAGUCAGUUGUGAAAGUUUGAGGCUCAACCUUAAAAUUGCAGUUGAUACUGUCAUUCUUGAGUGUACAAGAGGUGGGCGGAAUUCGUGGUGUAGCGGUGAAAUGCUUAGAUAUCACGAAGAACUCCGAUUGCGAAGGCAGCUCACUGGGGUACAACUGACGCUGAGGCACGAAAGUGUGGGUAUCAAACAGGAUUAGAUACCCUGGUAGUCCACACAGUAAACGAUGAAUACUCGCUGUUUGCGAUAUACAGUAAGCGGCUAAGCGAAAGCGUUAAGUAUUCCACCUGGGGAGUACGCCGGCAACGGUGAAACUCAAAGGAAUUGACGGGGGCCCGCACAAGCGGAGGAACAUGUGGUUUAAUUCGAUGAUACGCGAGGAACCUUACCCGGGCUUGAAUCGCAGUGGAAUAUAUUAGAAAUAGUAUAGCCGUAAGGCCGCUGUGAAGGUGCUGCAUGGUUGUCGUCAGCUCGUGCCGUGAGGUGUCGGCUUAAGUGC